GGGUUGUGAGGUUAAGCGACUAAGCGUACACGGUGGAUGCCCUGGCAGUCAGAGGCGAUGAAGGACGUGCUAAUCUGCGAUAAGCGCCGGUAAGGUGAUAUGAACCGUUAUAACCGGCGAUUUCCGAAUGGGGAAACCCAGUGUGACUCGUCACACUAUCAUUAACUGAAUCCAUAGGUUAAUGAGGCGAACCGGGGGAACUGAAACAUCUAAGUACCCCGAGGAAAAGAAAUCAACCGAGAUUCCCCCAGUAGCGGCGAGCGAACGGGGAGGAGCCCAGAGCCUGAAUCAGCAUGUGUGUUAGUGGAAGCGUCUGGAAAGGCGCGCGAUACAGGGUGACAGCCCCGUACACAAAAGCGCAUGUGUUGUGAGCUCGAUGAGUAGGGCGGGACACGUGGUAUCCUGUCUGAAUAUGGGGGGACCAUCCUCCAAGGCUAAAUACUCCUGACUGACCGAUAGUGAACCAGUACCGUGAGGGAAAGGCGAAAAGAACCCCGGCGAGGGGAGUGAAAAAGAACCUGAAACCGUGUACGUACAAGCAGUGGGAGCACCCUUCGGGGUGUGACUGCGUACCUUUUGUAUAAUGGGUCAGCGACUUAUAUUCUGUAGCAAGGUUAACCGAAUAGGGGAGCCGGAGGGAAACCGAGUCUUAACCGGGCGUUAAGUUGCAGGGUAUAGACCCG
Molecule: ribosomal RNA, 683 nt
Filed under: Salmonella enterica
Lineage: Bacteria; Pseudomonadati; Pseudomonadota; Gammaproteobacteria; Enterobacterales; Enterobacteriaceae
Description: partial 23S ribosomal RNA
Rfam family: Bacterial large subunit ribosomal RNA
Source: RNAcentral